RNAcentral lists this long non-coding RNA (726 nucleotides) under Struthio camelus australis. RNAcentral describes it as "lncRNA (ENSSCUG00000009163.1)". The record is from RNAcentral. Lineage: Eukaryota; Metazoa; Chordata; Aves; Struthioniformes; Struthionidae.
CUGAUAUUAUAAACUUUUUUUUUUUUCUCUAAAAAUGAUCUCAUUUAAGAUUCUUGGAAGAGCCUCUUACACUUAGAUGCCCCAACCCAAAUUGCUGCUGGAUGCCUUUUUCCUGAAUAUGACAAAAUGAGGAUAUGUGGAUGAUGACCCUGUCUUGUUUGGUGGCACUGCUUGUAGCAAAUCACAUCAUAAAAUACACAACUGAAAGACUUUCUUAAACAUCACUGGGGCAUGGAUCCUCACCUUGUUAAAGUAGUAAAGACAAAAACUGACAAAAGGAAAACGGAUAGUCCAGCUUAGUCCUACAGAAUUUUGGGCCAAUCUUGGAAAUUCUUCGGUGCCCUCUUAUGGACCAUCGGUAGAUCUGGCUCUCUGUCCUUGUAACAAGGCCAAAAGGAGCAGUUUGGCUCAGGGCGCCAGGAACGUCUUUGUAACCAGGGACUGGAGGAACACAGUGAAAGGACUUGGUCUGAACGCUUUCGUUGCCCUUCAGCCAGGUAAAAUGAGGUCCAGAUCAGUUCAAGCAUUUUCUUUGGCAUACCUGUAAAAUCUUUUUAAACUACCACUAUAACUACCUUAUAUUGUGCAUUCUGGCAGAGAAGACUGCGUUUUGCAUUUUGAGCAGGCCAUUUUGAUACUUUUCCAAACAUUUUUCAAGCUCAAGAAAUUAUUGAAAGCAAUACUUUCCUACCAAUAACUUUUCUUUUGAAAAAUUGGCAUUUAUGG